CUCGUUCCAAACCCUCCUCUUCAAGUCAGAGCUGUUAAGCUCUUCCGGGGAAAGAAGCCUCUCUUCCAUUGAAUUAUCCAUGAUCCUUUUAAGUAUUCUUUGAGGCUUAAACCGAUGGAAGUUUGCUUCGAAGCUGGACUUAUGGUGUCCACAGAGA
Molecule: long non-coding RNA, 157 nt
Organism: Populus euphratica (Euphrates poplar)
Lineage: Eukaryota; Viridiplantae; Streptophyta; Magnoliopsida; Malpighiales; Salicaceae
Exons: 3
Source: RefSeq, a predicted model, not a curated record